RNAcentral lists this long non-coding RNA (575 nucleotides) under Mytilus galloprovincialis (Mediterranean mussel). The record is from RNAcentral. Lineage: Eukaryota; Metazoa; Mollusca; Bivalvia; Mytilida; Mytilidae.
AUUAUUUCAAUAUUUUGACAUUGUAAUUUUAUCAGCACUAAUUAUAGAUUAAAUUCAAAAGCAAAUAGUCUUAUCAGAAACAUUUUGUACACAGGUAAAACUUCAUUGUUUGUGAAAUAUAUAAAAUCAAAUGUAUGACACUUAUCUGAAUCAUAUAAGAACCUCACAAUGGUAAAAUAUAUAAUUUUCAUGAUCAAAUAAAUAUUAAAAAAAAUAACAAGAAUAUGUGUCCAUAGGACACCAUGCAUUGCCCUCAUUAUCACACUUCCAUGUCCAAUUAAUAGCAUAAUCUGUACCAACUCCCAAAUUGACAAUAAAAGUAGAUAGUUUUCAUCAUACUGAACAUGUGUACAAAGUUUCAAGUUGAUGUGACCACUUUAUGGUAAACUACCAUUGAUAAACAGUAAGCUACCUUGUACCAAAUUUAAACAAGAUAGGUGGGUGGAUGAACAUAGCUGAAGUCAUAUUUGAAAACCAUGUAUAUCACAAAUACAAUACAAGAAAUAUGACAUGUAAGAAAAGAUUGUACAUGUGUGACACAAUUUUAAGUUUUACCAGAGUAAUGUUAUAUUAUA